This is a long non-coding RNA of Papilio polytes (common Mormon), 361 nucleotides long. RefSeq lists it as uncharacterized. NCBI's taxonomy places the organism in Eukaryota, Metazoa, Arthropoda, Insecta, Lepidoptera, Papilionidae. The record is from RefSeq and is a predicted model, not a curated record. The transcript is spliced from 4 exons.
UUUUGUCAUAUCCUGUUGUGUGUUGGUGAGUGCAUGGCCUCGACGUUGAUCCCGUUCCAAGAUUUUUAUUCCGUAACACCGCAGUCUUUCACAUAUGUAAUAUUACCCCGAUAUAAUAUUCGUGAUGGUGUCCUGUAAAAGGCCAUGGAUUUGAUGAAAACGAAUAUGUGUGCACGUGGGAGGAAUAUGAGUUCCUAGACUUGUCAGAUGUAAAAGAAGCGGAACUGAGCAGUCUGCAGUGUGCACUCUUCGAGAGGAAGCCCGAGAGCUGUGUGCCCACCACAAUCAUACAGGGGUGGACUGAACCCAGCGCAGAGUUGUCAUCGUGUUCAUCGAGCACAGCGGGGCCACCGACCGUGUC